UACAAUCACUGAAGUUAAGCAACAUCGAGCCUGGUUAGUACCUAGAUGGGCGACCGCUUGGGAAUAUCAAGUGUUGUAA
Non-coding RNA from Acanthosepion pharaonis, 79 nucleotides. NCBI's taxonomy places the organism in Eukaryota, Metazoa, Mollusca, Cephalopoda, Sepiida, Sepiidae. The record is from the annotation of a GenBank genome assembly.